UACGGAAGGCAGCAGUGGGGAAUAUUGCACAAUGGGCGAAAGCCUGAUGCAGCUAUGCCGCGUGUAUGAAGAAGGCCUUAGGGUUGUAAAGUACUUUCAUCGGGGAGGAAAAAACAAAACUAAUAAUUUUAUUUCUUGACGUUACCCGAAAAAGAAGCACCGGCUAACUCCGUGCCAGCAGCCGCGGUAAUACGGAGGGUGCUAGCGUUAAUCAGAAUUACUGGGCGUAAAGAGCACGUAGGUGGUUUUUUAAGUCAGAUGUGAAAUCCCUGGGCUUAACCUAGGAACUGCAUUUGAAACUGAAAUACUAGAGUAUCGUAGAGGGAGGUAGAAUUCUAGGUGUAGCGGUGAAAUGCGUAGAUAUCUGGAGGAAUACCUGUGGCGAAAGCGGCCUCCUAAACGAAUACUGACACUGAGGUGCGAAAAGCGUGGGGAGCAAAACAGGGAUUAGAUACC
RNAcentral lists this ribosomal RNA (456 nucleotides) under uncultured bacterium. Its description in RNAcentral is "bacterial SSU rRNA". It matches the Rfam family "Bacterial small subunit ribosomal RNA", at positions 340 to 786 of the family's 1533-position model. The record is from RNAcentral.